This is a long non-coding RNA of Ictalurus punctatus (channel catfish), 872 nucleotides long. NCBI's taxonomy places the organism in Eukaryota, Metazoa, Chordata, Actinopteri, Siluriformes, Ictaluridae. The record is from Ensembl.
CAAGGGAGUUCAGAUAAGAAUUUCCAAUCUGUGAGUCUGAGGUUAAUUACUUUUCUACUCUGUCGCUGUAUUUUCCAAACAUAAUGUUGUCCAUUAAGUCACUGACCACAGUGUUCUGAUUUUCACAUUUUAAACUGAAAUCCUGUACUGACAAUAUCAGAGGUCAGUGUACAGAGUGUGUGUGUGUGAGUGUGUGUGUGUGUGUGUGUGAGGGAUUUACUGGAAAGUUCAGAUAAGAAACUUUGCCAGAUGUUUGGAGACUAGACACAUGGAUUUAAAAGAACACACACAAUCACUGUGCAGCAGUACAAAUAAACUGAUACGUGUGACAUGCAUAAAUAAAAUAUAAAAUACCUUUACAAGCAUCACUAUAGCACAAGACCUGCACAAAACAACGAUAUCUGACACACGUGUUAAAGUGGUUAAAGUAGUAAAAGUAGUAAAAGUGGUAAAAGUAAAAAAGCGGUUAAAGUGAUAAAAGUAGUAAAAGUGGUUAAAGUAGUAAAAUUGGUUAAAGUAGUAAAAGUGGUUAAAUUAGUUAAAGUGGUAAAAGUAAUAAAAGUAGUAAAAGUGGUUAAAGUAGUAAAAGUAGUAAAAGUGGUUAAAUUAGUUAAAGUGGUAAAAGUGUUAAAAGUAGUAAAAGUACUUAAGGUGGUAAAAGCGGUGAAAGUAGUUACUGUAAAGUAGUUAAAGCGGUAAAAGUAUUAAAAGUAGUUAACAUGGUAAAAGUGGCGAAAAGUCCUAAAAUAGUUAAAGUGGUAAAAGUAGUUAAAGUAGUUAAACUAUUAAAAGUAGUAAAAGUAGUUAAAGCGGUUUAAGUGGUUAAAGUAGUUAGUAACAGUGGUAAAAGUAGUAAAAGUAGUAAAAGCGGU